Styela clava is the source of this 1360-nucleotide non-coding RNA. NCBI's taxonomy places the organism in Eukaryota, Metazoa, Chordata, Ascidiacea, Stolidobranchia, Styelidae. The record is from RefSeq and is a predicted model, not a curated record.
UAGGUGCAAAUUUUGGCUAGGUUUGAGCUGAAGUUGUGCGUAUUACAGGUUUUCUUGUUCUGUUGUAAAGCACAGUACUUAAUAUAGGUGUACAUAAAAUUAAUGGUUUAUGCUAAGUUCCAGGAGUUAAAAUGUAUAAAAAGUAGAAGGCCGAGCGUUGUAAGCUACAUAUUGAAUGGCCCGAGUAAAAAUAGGUAUCGUUUAUAGUAUAUAUAUACAAUCCAAAGUAUUUUAUACCGUUUCCAAAUUUUGGGGGGGUGUUAGAUAUUGGGUUAUUAGUGAAAAAACUAUUUGUAACUUAUUGAGUGUUAUGUAUUCAACUGUUCAAAAAAUUGAUACUACUUCGUUUUGACUUUCGUGUCCAUGAAUUCGAGCUUUGCUUUUUUGUUCUAUAUUGCGUUUUUGUCUGUGAUUUCACCAUUGUAUGAAGGUCGAUGAUUCCAGUGAUGGGUAAAAGUUCCUUGACCCACAGUUGCGAGCCCGAAGGCUAGUCCCGAAUGAACUCUGUUAGCUUAGGUUAGUCUCGAUAUGAGUCGAUCACCUAAGCUAUGUCUCAUUGGUAUUGUUAGUUCACGAUCAGUCAGUCAAUGCAUCAGUCGCCUAAUAUUUACAAAUGCUUCCUGGUUCAUCUUGUCUAUUUUUGUUACUUUUUUUCUGUUACUUUUUCUGAUACUUUUUUACUGAUUUUGUGGGACUUCUAUUGUCAGAUUUUUGAUUUUCUAUGUGAAAUUGUCGUGAAACGUGUUGUUGGGACUGGUUCAUGCUACCCAUGAGCACGGUGAGCGCUAUUUACCAGUCAUGGUGCGAGGGUGGUAAGUUGAGUAGUGAAAUUGAUUGUUGAGGAAGCCAUAAGGCGGACCGUCGAUUACGUGAAACGGUGAACCACCAUUCCGACGGCGAGAAGCCCAGCGUUAAUAUCACCCACUGCAUUCAAAACUUGAUGGGGUAAUCAAAUAGUGUUCCUGACGCUUCGCACAAUGCGCCAACCACCGAACCGAACUGGUGAAAACGACGGAUCAUGCCAACAGAGGUAGAAGUAGUGUCGAUCAUCGAGUGAAUGGCGUUUGAUUGAUAACGAGUCGAGAUUCAUUCCAUUCAGUUACUUGAGUUUUUUUGAACCCGGACGCGCUUGAGUCAGUACCUCUUGCAUCCCCAACACUGUUUUUACUGAAUCACCAGCGAAUCUGUCUGAAUAUAUUUGUAAACAGGUCGGGUUGGUUUUCAGAGCGAGAACCCCAACAGCAUGAUUGCCUAUCGAUCAGGUGUUUUCAUGCUGUAAUCAAGAUGUUGUUGAAAGUGUCGAGGAGUAGAAUUUCAUGAACACCCGAAUUGUUAUCAAUCAUUCCAGCCUUUUUAAGCG